AUACGGAGGGUCCAAGCGUUAUCCGGAAUCAUUGGGUUUAAAGGGUCCGUAGGCGGACAAUUAAGUCAGAGGUGAAAGCCCACAGCUCAACUGUGGAACUGCCUUUGAUACUGGUUGUCUUGAAUUAUAGUGAAGUAGAUAGAAUAUGUAGUGUAGCGGUGAAAUGCAUAGAUAUUACAUAGAAUACCGAUUGCGAAGGCAGUAUACUAACUAUAUAUUGACGCUGAUGGACGAAAGCGUGGGGAGCGAACAGGAUUAGAAACCCUAGUAGUCC
RNAcentral lists this ribosomal RNA (274 nucleotides) under uncultured bacterium. RNAcentral describes it as "partial 16S ribosomal RNA". It matches the Rfam family "Bacterial small subunit ribosomal RNA", at positions 523 to 796 of the family's 1533-position model. The record is from RNAcentral.